This 77-nucleotide transfer RNA is filed under the name Candidatus Saccharimonadota bacterium. RNAcentral's name for it is "Candidatus Saccharibacteria bacterium tRNA-Met". It matches the Rfam family "tRNA". From Rfam's summary of the family: Transfer RNA (tRNA) molecules are approximately 80 nucleotides in length. Their secondary structure includes four short double-helical elements and three loops (D, anti-codon, and T loops). Further hydrogen bonds mediate the characteristic L-shaped molecular structure. tRNAs have two regions of fundamental functional importance: the anti-codon, which is responsible for specific mRNA codon recognition, and the 3' end, to which the tRNAs corresponding amino acid is attached (by aminoacyl-tRNA synthetases). tRNAs cope with the degeneracy of the genetic code in two manners: having more than one tRNA (with a specific anti-codon) for a particular amino acid; and 'wobble' base-pairing, i.e. permitting non-standard base-pairing at the 3rd anti-codon position. Lineage: Bacteria; Candidatus Saccharimonadota. The record is from RNAcentral.
GGCAGCGUAGCUCAGUUGGUUAGAGCGUAGGACUCAUAAGCCUAAGGUCACAGGAUCGUUCCCUGUCGCUGCUACCA